Molecule: long non-coding RNA, 452 nt
Organism: Hylaeus volcanicus
Lineage: Eukaryota; Metazoa; Arthropoda; Insecta; Hymenoptera; Colletidae
Exons: 3
Source: RefSeq, a predicted model, not a curated record
CUAUAAAAUUGAUCAGCAUUUUGGGAAUUCCUUUGCGGUACGAUUAACCUUUGACUGCAAAUGCUGUAUAUAAAAAAUUGUAUUUACUUGGACAACUUACAGCGUAUAGUUUGAAGAAAACAAUGUUCAGUAAAAAUCGGUGGGGUAUCUACGACAAGAUAAUCCAGAGGAUCCCAUGCUACUUGGCGUAACAAUUUGUCGAUUGCGCUCAUUACCAUUAAUCCCCUCCAUAUUACGGGAGAUUUUUCAUCAAUUAAAAAGCCCAUUGACAUGCUAUGUACAAAAACAAGUUAACAAUCUUGAUUUAUAGCGGGAUUGUCUUAUAUUCAUCAUCAGAGGUACCGACGGACCAAAUACAUCGGCAUCGAGUAAGCCGAUAGACUUGUUUGGCUCGAGAAUUUUCAAAGCAGUCGAUAAAUUUACAGCGGUGGUAGAUUUACCGACACCUCCCU